ACUUUCACCCAAUUAAUACCACCAAUUUGGGUCUCAUUAAUUACAUAUGCAUGGCCUCAAUCAAUUACCCAUCUUGAAAAGAAACAACUUGACGUACAGUGCACCCAAAAUUCUCAAUUCAUGUGAUAAGAUCAACCAUACUCUAUUAUGUGUUAUUCUGAAUAAUUGAUUGUGAAUAAAGUUUUGGUUCCACCAAUAUAAAAUAAUGAAAAUAAACCAUAAAAACAUAUAAAAAAAAUUGUAUCCCAAAUCUUGAAUCACAGAUCCACAUAAUAAUAAAAUUAAAACAAAAGCUAAAAAUAAAAUCUUUGGUCACGUUACGCUGGAUUUGAUUUAUUAUCCCAAAUAUCUUGGCACUACGACUGCACCACACCGC
This 376-nucleotide long non-coding RNA is filed under the name Olea europaea (common olive). RNAcentral's name for it is "long non-coding RNA (OEUR_LNC009754)". The record is from RNAcentral. Lineage: Eukaryota; Viridiplantae; Streptophyta; Magnoliopsida; Lamiales; Oleaceae.